Molecule: non-coding RNA, 85 nt
Organism: Mycena vulgaris
Lineage: Eukaryota; Fungi; Basidiomycota; Agaricomycetes; Agaricales; Mycenaceae
Source: the annotation of a GenBank genome assembly
GGGUGUGUAGUAUAGUUGGUUAUUGCGCUCGCUUCGCACUUCCGGAUUUUGCGAGAGGGCUGGAGUUCGACUCUCCACUCGUCCA